GGCUCCAUAGUGUAGUGGUUAGCGUGUAUGCUUUACAUGUAGAAUGUCCUGGGUUCACACUCCAGGUGGAGCCA
This 74-nucleotide transfer RNA is filed under the name Pteropus alecto (black flying fox). It matches the Rfam family "tRNA". From Rfam's summary of the family: Transfer RNA (tRNA) molecules are approximately 80 nucleotides in length. Their secondary structure includes four short double-helical elements and three loops (D, anti-codon, and T loops). Lineage: Eukaryota; Metazoa; Chordata; Mammalia; Chiroptera; Pteropodidae. The record is from Rfam by way of RNAcentral. RNAcentral also lists the same sequence under 1 other name.